UGAGCAUGUUCUUUCUCAUAAAUAAAUCAACUUUGGAGUUAAGCCCAAAGCCAAAAGCUUAUAUAAAAUUGUUCUGUUUUAGUUUAGAGAUUUCAUUAAUAUUUAGUUGCACCUUCUGAAGAAAUUAAAUAAUAAAGGCUCUAGCCAAGAAUAAUUGUCUCCCUAUUUAACACCUAUUUAGACAUCUAAACUUUUAUGAAAUGAAAAAUAAAACCUGUAAGAUAACUGCCUCUGAAUUGCCAUUGCUACAAAUUGUUUACAAAUGUCAACCAAUGCAAAACAAUUAUGUAGUAAUUUGAUGCAACGCUUUUUUUUUUUUUUUUUUUUCUUUUUUUUUUACGUUAACCACAACUGCCAUAAUCAUAACUUUAUUUAUGUAUUUGUUUAUUUUUUUUAUUAAUUGUGCAGUCAGUUUCAAGGGUAAUGGUGUAAAUGAUGACAACAUUGUCAUUUUUGGGUGAAAUAUCAUCCUUUUUUGUUUUUGCGUCUUGCAUAUGAUAUUCCUCCUCUGACUGCUGAUUGAUGUGCAUGCAGGGCCAGCGAGGGAAAGAGGGAUUCAGUGGAGGAAAUCCUGCACCCAUCUGAGUCCCAGUCUCCCAUGAGAAAUUAUUCCUGGCUCACUUGCUGUGAGCAGAAGCUGGAGAUAUACGCUCAUACUGUAAUUACAGGAUGCAUGGAGCAUGACCUGUCAGACUGAGAGAAGUGCCUCGGUCGCUCCUUCAUCCUUCUCUCUUUCUCUCCGCACUGAUGUGUGUCCACAGCCCACUCUUGAACCACCUGGAGGCCUGUGUGUGUGUGUGUGUGUGUGUUGUAUAGUGGAUGACAGGCGCUCUCACUCUCGCUGUGGGUCACUGUCAGAGAGGCAGCAGGUGUUACACAGAUUCUCCAGCCAGAUGAAUCCACAUUCUCAUGCCUGUUUACUCAUUUGA
RNAcentral lists this long non-coding RNA (929 nucleotides) under Carassius auratus (goldfish). RNAcentral describes it as "lncRNA (ENSCARG00000041480.1)". The record is from RNAcentral. Lineage: Eukaryota; Metazoa; Chordata; Actinopteri; Cypriniformes; Cyprinidae.